Molecule: ribosomal RNA, 384 nt
Filed under: uncultured bacterium
Lineage: Bacteria
Description: bacterial SSU rRNA
Rfam family: Bacterial small subunit ribosomal RNA
Source: RNAcentral
GACGAACGCUGGAGGCGUGCUUAACACAUGCAAGUCGAGCGGUAAGGCCCUUUCGGGGGUACACGAGCGGCGAACGGGUGAGUAACACGUGGGUGACCUGCCCUCAGCUCUGGGAUAAGCCUGGGAAACUGGGUCUAAUACUGGAUAUGACUCCACGGUGCAUGUCGGUGGGGUGGAAAGCCUUGUGCGGCUGAGGAUGGGCCCGCGGCCUAUCAGCUUGUUGGUGGGGUGANGGCCUACCAAGGCGACGACGGGUAGCCGGCCUGAGAGGGCGACCGGCCACACUGGGACUGAGACACGGCCCAGACUCCUACGGGAGGCAGCAGUGGGGAAUCUUGCGCAAUGGGCGAAAGCCUGACGCAGCGACGCCGCGUGAGGGAUGAC